UUUAAUAUAAUAAAAUUAUAAUUUAGGAUUAUAUAAAGGUAAAUUUAACCUAUAAA
RNAcentral lists this transfer RNA (56 nucleotides) under Lophogaster typicus. RNAcentral describes it as "tRNA-Leu". The record is from RNAcentral. Lineage: Eukaryota; Metazoa; Arthropoda; Malacostraca; Lophogastrida; Lophogastridae.